Molecule: small RNA, 809 nt
Filed under: Pan troglodytes (chimpanzee)
Lineage: Eukaryota; Metazoa; Chordata; Mammalia; Primates; Hominidae
Description: retained intron
Source: RNAcentral
CAAUUAGGAUUACAAGCGUUUCUUCAAAAUUUAGUAGCUCACAAGGACAUUGCUAACUGCCUUGCAGUGAGAGAAUUUCUUUGUUUGGAUGAUCCACCGGGUCCAUUUGAUAGCCUAGAAGAAAGCAGGGUAAGUGCUGUAUUAUAUAGCACAUGAAAAGAGGAACAAAUAAUACAGUACAAUAACUACAUUGUUUCUUGGAUGGAAUAGCAAACAGCAAAAUAUUAUAAUUUCAGGCUAUGGUAGUUUUGCACAGAAAGGUUUCAUGUUUGAGUCAAAGGUUGCUUUCAGUGAAAUACAUAGACUUAGCUCAGUGAAAAAGUAAAAAUUCAUAUAUGUCUUAUAGUCAAUAAAGCUCUAAAAUUAAAUCCUGCAUUAUUUUUACUGUUUCAAAAAAAAUGAUUUGGGGGACCUUUUUAUAUUUAAUAAUACUAUGUGUAAACUGAGUUUUCUUCCAUUUGAGUGUCAAAAUAAGGAAUGUACAGCUAAAAUCAAAUUUAAAACUUCAGGGGUAGGAGUGAUUAUCUUGUUAUCGGUUUAGCUUGUGCCUGAUGCUUCUCAAAUUACAUUAAUUGACGUGUUAAAGUGUCCUGUUUCUUGAAGCAAUAGCCUAGAUUCACAAAACAGAUUUGGUAAUAGUAGAUUAGCUAGGAUUUUAUGCAAGGUUUUUCCCCAAAUGUUUAAUGGCAUUUAAAUGGAACAGAUUUAAUUGGUAGGUUUGUAAUGUUUUCAUUCAAGCUGAGUCAGUUCUUUGUGUUAGAUUGAAUGCCCUGGCCUUUUUACAACAGCUUUAUUGGAGUAAUAUUUUC